This is a long non-coding RNA of Larimichthys crocea (large yellow croaker), 834 nucleotides long. RefSeq lists it as uncharacterized. Lineage: Eukaryota; Metazoa; Chordata; Actinopteri; Sciaenidae. The record is from RefSeq and is a predicted model, not a curated record. The transcript is spliced from 3 exons.
CUGAGACUGACUAAAGACUGAAGUCAGACUGAACUCUCUCCAGUGUUUUGAAUUUGGACUGCAGGAAUAAUUUUAACCACUAGAUGUCAGUGUUCCACAUUUCUAACACUGGACAGUGUCCAUUGUCCUCCACAGAUUGAAGAUCACAAAGACUGAAGACACUGAAGAUUCAACAGGUUUGAGUCCAUGAAGCAGCUUCAGUCUGUCUUCAGUCUUCAGUCUUUAGUCAGUCUUUAGUCUUGGCUGCAGAUGACAUGAGCAGAGAAUGAACACGUAUUUACUUUAAUGACAGCAGCUUCAUGUUUCAGGUCAGUCUUCUAUGUUGUCCUUAAACAGGACAACGUCCUCUGUCUGUCCCAACAGCGGACGCUGAUACAAAGCACACAUAACAUGGAUGUGUCACGGUGCAGGACUCUGCAUCCAGACCAUGGACCAGAGGAGGAGAAGGAAACAGCUUGCAUUGAGACAGUGGUCUGAUAUCUAUCGAACGUCCCUGGCUGUCCAUAAGUGAUGCUAGAGGUGUACAGAGUCUCCAGAGUCUUUUUGAAGCGUAAGGCUGCUGACCAAGCUGCAGUUUUUGACGAGUUGGGAAUGAGAACACAUUGGUGUUUCAGGUGCAGAACUAGGAAGAGUUCAAGGGACAUGCCACGCAGUACAUCAGAGAACAACAAACACAGCAACACACCAAGACACAGUCCAAAGAGGGUGACCUCGACGACCGUCGUCCACACCUGACCUCAGGUGACCUUAGCGACUGGCAGUGAUUGGACGGCAGAUCCUGAAGAAACAGGCCAAUCACAGGAGUGGAUGAAGGAUGUAGUUGUGCUGUAUGUU